GCCUCUUUAGCUCAGUGGUAGAGCGUUGGUCUUGUAAACCAAAGGUCAUGUGAUCAAUCCACAUAAGGGGCA
Non-coding RNA from Entophlyctis helioformis, 72 nucleotides. Lineage: Eukaryota; Fungi; Chytridiomycota; Chytridiomycetes; Chytridiales; Chytriomycetaceae. The record is from the annotation of a GenBank genome assembly.